GUGGGGAAUAUUGGACAAUGGGCGAAAGCCUGAUCCAGCCAUGCCGCGUGUGUGAAGAAGGUCUUCGGAUUGUAAAGCACUUUAAGUUGGGAGGAAGGGCAGUAAGUUAAUACCUUGCUGUUUUGACGUUACCGACAGAAUAAGCACCGGCUAACUUCGUGCCAGCAGCCGCGGUAAUACGAAGGGUGCAAGCGUUAAUCGGAAUUACUGGGCGUAAAGCGCGCGUAGGUGGUUUUGUAAGUUAGAGGUGAAAUCCCCGGUCUCAACCUGGGAACUGCCUCCAAAACUGCAUGACUAGAGUACGGUAGAGGGUAGUGGAAUUUCCUGUGUAGCGGUGAAAUGCGUAGAUAUAGGAAGGAACACCAGUGGCGAAGGCGACUACCUGGACUGAUACUGACACUGAGGUGCGAAAGCGUGGGGAGCAAACAGGAUUAGAUACCCGUGUAGUCC
Molecule: ribosomal RNA, 450 nt
Filed under: uncultured bacterium
Lineage: Bacteria
Description: partial 16S ribosomal RNA
Rfam family: Bacterial small subunit ribosomal RNA
Source: RNAcentral